This 571-nucleotide small RNA is filed under the name uncultured bacterium. RNAcentral's name for it is "bacterial SSU rRNA". The stretch from base 231 to 571 matches the Rfam family "Bacterial small subunit ribosomal RNA", at positions 1 to 335 of the family's 1533-position model. The record is from RNAcentral.
AAUAACGCAGGGAAACUUGUGCUAAUACCGUAUGUGCCCUUUGGGGGGAAGAUUUAUCGGUAAAGGAUCGGCCCGCGUUGGAUUAGCUAGUUGGUGGGGUAAAGGCCUACCAAGGCGACGAUCCAUAGCUGGUCUGAGAGGAUGAUCAGCCACAUUGGGACUGAGACACGGCCCAGACUCCUACGGGAGGCAGCAGUGGGACUCCUACGGGAGGCAGCAGUGGGCGGGAGGCAGCAGUGGGACAGUUGGCUCAGAACGAACGCUGGCGGCGUGCCUAAUACAUGCAAGUCGAGCGAACCUUUAAAAGCUUGCUGUUAAAGGUUAGCGGCGGACGGGUGAGUAACACGUGGGCAACCUACCUGUAAGACUGGGAUAACUUCGGGAAACCGGAGCUAAUACCGGAUAAUUCUUUUCUACACAUGUAGAAAAGCUGAAAGACGGUUUCGGCUGUCACUUACAGAUGGGCCCGCGGCGCAUUAGCUAGUUGGUGAGGUAAUGGCUCACCAAGGCAACGAUGCGUAGCCGACCUGAGAGGGUGAUCGGCCACAUUGGAACUGAGACACGGUCCAGA